CAGUCGCCGCGGUAAUACGUAGGUGGCAAGCGUUGUCCGGAAUUAUUGGGCGUAAAGGGCCCGCAGGCGGUUUCUUAAGUCUGAUGUGAAAGCCCCCGGCUCAACCGGGGAGGGCCAUUGGAAACUGGGAAACUUGAGUGCAGAAGAGGAGAGUGGAAUUCCACGUGUAGCGGUGAAAUGCGUAGAGAUGUGGAGGAACACCAGUGGCGAAGGCGACUCUCUGGUCUGUAACUGACGCUGAGGAGCGAAAGCGUGGGGAGCGAACAGGAUUAGAUACCCCCGUAGUCCCUGUCUCUUAUAC
RNAcentral lists this ribosomal RNA (301 nucleotides) under uncultured bacterium. RNAcentral's name for it is "partial 16S ribosomal RNA". It matches the Rfam family "Bacterial small subunit ribosomal RNA", at positions 509 to 807 of the family's 1533-position model. The record is from RNAcentral.